Molecule: long non-coding RNA, 1454 nt
Organism: Protopterus annectens (West African lungfish)
Lineage: Eukaryota; Metazoa; Chordata; Ceratodontiformes; Protopteridae
Exons: 3
Source: RefSeq, a predicted model, not a curated record
AGAAAGUACGAGCAAUUACUGUCCUCGGUACAUUUUAUCCUUGGGAUUACCAUCCAUUGUUGCCCUGGCAAUGAUCAUACUUUUACUUGUAUACUAUCAAAGAUGUCAAAAAAGAGGAAGAGCAGGACGGCAGAGACUUCAAAAGAAAAAUGCACAAGAACCAGAGACAGAAUAUGCAUCCCUGAGGCUACUGAAAUGAUUACUGACAGAAUGUCUUCAUGCAAUGACAUCUAAAUCUCGUAAAUCGUAGAAAGAAUGAUGGACAUAAUGAUUCACAACUCAAGAUUCAUGCAUUUCUGUCAUUUAAUUAAUCUUGUAUCUUGAAUGGCAGCAAAAAUGAAAAAAAAAAUUGUGUUAUUAUAUUAACCACACAUUUUCUUGUUUCACAAAAGAACAAAUCCAUCCAGGCUGGACUUUACCAGUUACUCUACCUGCAGAUUUAUCCACAUUCUGGGGAACUCUAUCCCCCUUUUAAUUAGUGCAACAUAAUGCUAUAAUUUCCUAUGUCGUGGCAUUGAAGGCCAUUUCACCAAUCUGCACAAUCUAAGCAGGGCCAGUUAAUAUUAAACCAUGAGUUUCAGGAGAGCCACUGACCUACUGAUGGUGUACCCUUUAAUAUGUGCUAAAUGUAAAAAGAAAAGAAACAGCAAGUAAUUACCUUUGUUACAGUACUUUUCAGUAUAGUAAAACAACCCAGUAGCAGAAAUGAAAAAUCCACAACCAGCCACAGUAUAAAGUUUAAUAUAAAACAAAACUCCAGAGUGUUUAAACUUUAUACUGUGGCCAGUUGUGGACUUUUCAUUAUAGUGUCUGGUACCACUUAAUAUGGCUUCAGCUUUUCCAAGGUCAGUGUACAUUUCUUGCUUUUUGAUAAAAUGAUUAAUUUUUUUAUCUUAAGAAACCUAAUUUGCAUUCACCCAGUUCUGUAUUUUCUUAUCUUUUUUCUUCUUCUCUUUUUAUUCUUUCCUUUUCUUUUAUUUUAUAUGUUAAAUAAACAAAUCUCUAUUUCACACAUUCUCAAAAAACUGAACAAACAGCAGUAUAUAAACGGACACAGAAUUAACCGAUUGUGUACCAUAUGAAAUUUUAUGCAAGGAAAAGUAAGUAGAUAGCCUAUAUCAGUAACCAAUGGAAAAGUCUGAAAUGAACUAUGCAAAUGCAAUUUUGGAAUUAAUAUUAUUAUCUCAUUACUCAUUUUAUGUUGAACUGCUGUUUAUUUUUUAGAGAACUCCAAAAAACUGUAUUAAUAAUAACUCUGUUUAAUGGCUGGGCUCAUAUACAGGUAAUUUGAAGUAAUGUUGUAAGACAUUGAGAGCAAUACAUAUAAAACUCAGUAUUGAUACAACGAGUGUCCCUGUUAAUAUUCAUGUCCUGGAACAACUGAGGUGUGAAUCAACAGAAAAAGACAGAAUAUCUGCAUGGGCAUAAUAAGGAAUGUAAUGAUAGGGUUGUCA